Molecule: ribosomal RNA, 701 nt
Filed under: Cerianthus membranaceus
Lineage: Eukaryota; Metazoa; Cnidaria; Anthozoa; Spirularia; Cerianthidae
Description: partial 16S ribosomal RNA
Rfam family: Bacterial large subunit ribosomal RNA
Source: RNAcentral
CAGGAGACUGACGUUAUGGAGGUGAAGCCUGCUCUAUGGUUGUAUCUGAAAAAAUAACAAAGAAGUUGUUUAUAAAGACAAUUAAAUGGCUGCGGUAUACCUAACUGUAAAAAUGUAGCGCAAUUAAUAGUCAAUUAAUUGUUGACAAGUAUGAAUGGCGUCACGAGUGCUUAACUGUCUUAAGAAAAAACCCAAUGAAAUUGAAUUCGUAGUUAAGAUGCUACGUAAUUUUGUAAGACGAAAAGACCCUAUUAAGCUUUACUGGAAACUUAUGCUGUCUUAAUAAAUAGUUGGUAUACAAGGUAAGUAAAGAAUAUAACUAUAAUAUUAAAUAAAUAUUUAAAUUAUAAAAUAUAUAAUAUUAAACCGAUUAUAUAUAUGAAAGACUAUGUCACCAAAAUAGAAUGAAUUAGUAUGUUAGACAGUUUGGUUGGGGCGACUCCCUAAAAAAGGAUAACUAAGGGGCACUAAGGUAAUGAAGAAAGAGCUUGACUGUAAGAGGGCACUCAAACAGACACGAAAGUGGGUAAAGCGAACCGUUAAUUAAAGUGGGAUUGUUAACGAUAAACGAAUAAAAGUUACUAUAGGGAUAACAGCGUAAUAUUGUUAGAGAGAUGACAUCGACGACAAUGUUUGCGACCUCGAUGUUGAAUUGCGGCAUCCUAGGGGCGUAGAAGCUCUAGAGGGUUAGUCUGUUCGAC